RNAcentral lists this RNase P RNA (387 nucleotides) under Subsaximicrobium wynnwilliamsii. Its description in RNAcentral is "Bacterial RNase P class A". It matches the Rfam family "Bacterial RNase P class A". From Rfam's summary of the family: Ribonuclease P (RNase P) is a ubiquitous endoribonuclease, found in archaea, bacteria and eukarya as well as chloroplasts and mitochondria. Its best characterised activity is the generation of mature 5'-ends of tRNAs by cleaving the 5'-leader elements of precursor-tRNAs. The record is from Rfam by way of RNAcentral. Lineage: Bacteria; Pseudomonadati; Bacteroidota; Flavobacteriia; Flavobacteriales; Flavobacteriaceae.
CAAGUAGAUCGCCUUAUCGCUGUCCUGUCCCAAUUGCUAUUGGGACGGGAUGGAGGAAAGUCCGAACACCAUAGUGCAAUCAUAGUGGCUAACGGCCACCCACCGUGAGGUGAGGAAAAGUGCAACAGAAAGCAAGUACAGGUCAUGCUGUAGUGAAACCAGGUAAACUCUAUGUGGUGCAAUGUCAUGUAAACUAACGUUGACCUGCCUGUCAUCGAUUAUUUGAUGGAGGCAGUCGGGAGCGUGCACGCGCGAUUGUUAGAGGGUAGACAGCUAAAGUUUGCUGGUAACAGUAAACGCAGAUAAAUGAUGAGGGCUUUUCUUUUUUAGGAUUUAGAUUCUAGAAAAUGAAACGUACAGAAUUCGGCUUAUAGAUUUGCUUACUCA